RNAcentral lists this ribosomal RNA (301 nucleotides) under uncultured bacterium. RNAcentral describes it as "partial 16S ribosomal RNA". It matches the Rfam family "Bacterial small subunit ribosomal RNA", at positions 509 to 807 of the family's 1533-position model. The record is from RNAcentral.
CAGUCGCCGCGGUAAUACGAAGGGGGCUAGCGUUGUUCGGAUUUACUGGGCGUAAAGCGCACGUAGGCGGAUCCUUAAGUCAGAGGUGAAAUCCCAAGGCUCAACCUUGGAACUGCCUUUGAUACUGGGGAUCUCGAGUUCGGGAGAGGUGAGUGGAACUGCGAGUGUAGAGGUGAAAUUCGUAGAUAUUCGCAAGAACACCAGUGGCGAAGGCGGCUUACUGGCUCAUUCUAGACGCUGAGGUGCGAAAGCGUGGGGAGCAAACAGGAUUAGAUACCCCGGUAGUCCCUGUCUCUUAUAC